This 301-nucleotide ribosomal RNA is filed under the name uncultured bacterium. RNAcentral describes it as "partial 16S ribosomal RNA". It matches the Rfam family "Bacterial small subunit ribosomal RNA", at positions 509 to 807 of the family's 1533-position model. The record is from RNAcentral.
CAGUCGCCACGGUAAUACGUAGGUGGCAAGCGUUGUCCGGAAUUAUUGGGCGUAAAGUGUCUGUAGGUGGCUUUUCAAGUCCGCCGUCAAAUCCCAGGGCUCAACCCUGGACAGGCGGUGGAAACUACCAAGCUGGAGUAUGGUAGGGGCAGAGGGAAUUUCCGGUGGAGCGGUGAAAUGCGUUGAGAUCGGAAAAAACACCAACGACGAAAGCACUCCGCUGGGCCGACACUGACACUUAGAGACGAAAGCUAGGGGAGCAAAUGGGAUUAGAUACCCCCGUAGUCCCUGUCUCUUAUAC